RNAcentral lists this ribosomal RNA (1120 nucleotides) under Polyporales sp. RNAcentral's name for it is "eukaryotic LSU rRNA". The stretch from base 516 to 1120 matches the Rfam family "Eukaryotic large subunit ribosomal RNA", at positions 1 to 609 of the family's 3401-position model. Lineage: Eukaryota; Fungi; Basidiomycota; Agaricomycetes; Polyporales. The record is from RNAcentral.
UAGCUGGUCCUCCGGGGCACGUGCACACCCGCUCAUCCACUCUACACCUGUGAACUAUUGUAGGUCGGCGUCGGGGCUCCUUAUGGGGUCUUACGGCUUCCUAUGUCUUCUACAAACCACGUCAGUUUUCAGAAUGUAAACGCGAUAAUACGCAUCAUAUACAACUUUCAGCAACGGAUCUCUUGGCUCUCGCAUCGAUGAAGAACGCAGCGAAAUGCGAUAAGUAAUGUGAAUUGCAGAAUUCAGUGAAUCAUCGAAUCUUUGAACGCACCUUGCGCUCCUCGGCAUUCCGUGGAGCAUGCCUGUUUGAGUGUCGUGAAAUUCUCAACCCCUCGUCCCUUGCAGGAAGGGUGGGCUUGGAUUUGGAGGCUUUGCCGGCGAUGUCGUUGGCUCCUCUCAAAAGCAUUAGCCCAGUUCCUUACGGAUCGGCUCCCGACGUGAUAGUUGUCUACGUCGUGACUGUGAAGUGCCUGGCAGGCUUCUAAUCGUCCCUAGCGGGACAAUCACUUUGAAUCUGACCUCAAAUCAGGUAGGACUACCCGCUGAACUUAAGCAUAUCAAUAAGCGGAGGAAAAGAAACUAACAAGGAUUCCCCUAGUAACUGCGAGUGAAGCGGGAAGAGCUCAAAUUUAAAAUCUGGCGGCCCCGGUCGUCCGAGUUGUAGUCUGGAGAAGUGCUUUCCGUGCCGGACCGUGUACAAGUCUCCUGGAACGGAGCGUCAUAGAGGGUGAGAAUCCCGUCUUUGACACGGACUACCGGUGCUUUGUGAUGCGCUCUCAAAGAGUCGAGUUGUUUGGGAAUGCAGCUCAAAAUGGGUGGUGAAUUCCAUCUAAAGCUAAAUAUUGGCGAGAGACCGAUAGCGAACAAGUACCGUGAGGGAAAGAUGAAAAGCACUUUGGAAAGAGAGUUAAACAGUACGUGAAAUUGCUGAAAGGGAAACGCUUGAAGUCAGUCGCGUCCGCCGGAACUCAGCCUUGCUUUUGCUUGGUGCAUUUUUCGGUGGACGGGCCAGCAUCGAUUUUGACCGUUGGAGAAGGGUGGGAGGAAUGUGGCACCUUCGGGUGUGUUAUAGCCUCCUGUCGCAUACAGCGGUUGGGAUCGAGGAUCGCAGCGCGCCUUU